GUGCCAGCAGCCGCGGUAAUACAGAGGGUGCAAGCGUUGUUCGGAAUUAUUGGGCGUAAAGGGAGUGUAGGCGGUCGUGAAAGUCUUCUGUGAAAUCUACGGGCUUAGCCUGUAACGUGCAGAGGAAACUGCUCGGCUUGAGUGUCGGAGAGGAUAGGGGAAUUCCCGGUGUAGAGGUGAAAUUCGUAGAGAUCGGGAGGAACACCAGUGGCGAAGGCGCCUGUCUGGCUGACAACUGACGCUGAGACUCGAAAGCAUGGGGAGCAAACAGGAUUAGAAACCCCCGUAGUCC
RNAcentral lists this ribosomal RNA (292 nucleotides) under uncultured bacterium. RNAcentral describes it as "partial 16S ribosomal RNA". It matches the Rfam family "Bacterial small subunit ribosomal RNA", at positions 505 to 796 of the family's 1533-position model. The record is from RNAcentral.